CUGUUACUGAUGAGACCGAAGCAGGUCGAAACAGUUGUCCAGUAG
RNAcentral lists this non-coding RNA (45 nucleotides) under Echinostoma caproni. Lineage: Eukaryota; Metazoa; Platyhelminthes; Trematoda; Plagiorchiida; Echinostomatidae. The record is from RNAcentral.